GACGAACGCUGGCGGCGUGCUUAACACAUGCAAGUCGAACGGAAAGGCCCUGCUUUUGUGGGGUGCUCGAGUGGCGAACGGGUGAGUAACACGUGAGUAACCUGCCCUUGACUUUGGGAUAACUUCAGGAAACUGGGGCUAAUACCGGAUAGGAGCUCCUGCUGCAUGGUGGGGGUUGGAAAGUUUCGGCGGUUGGGGAUGGACUCGCGGCUUAUCAGCUUGUUGGUGGGGUAGUGGCUUACCAAGGCUUUGACGGGUAGCCGGCCUGAGAGGGUGACCGGCCACAUUGGGACUGAGAGACGGACCAGACUCCUACGGGAGGCAGCAGUGGGGAAUAUUGCACAAUGGGCGGAAGCCUGAUGCAGCAACGCCGCGUGCGGGAUGACGGCCUUCGGGUUGUAAACCGCUUUCGCCUGUGACGAAGAGUGAGUGACGGUAAUGGGUAAAGAAGCACCGGCUAACUACGUG
This 468-nucleotide ribosomal RNA is filed under the name uncultured bacterium. RNAcentral describes it as "partial 16S ribosomal RNA". It matches the Rfam family "Bacterial small subunit ribosomal RNA", at positions 28 to 507 of the family's 1533-position model. The record is from RNAcentral.